RNAcentral lists this ribosomal RNA (482 nucleotides) under uncultured bacterium. RNAcentral's name for it is "bacterial SSU rRNA". It matches the Rfam family "Bacterial small subunit ribosomal RNA", at positions 28 to 506 of the family's 1533-position model. The record is from RNAcentral.
GAUGAACGCUAGCGGCAGGCUUAAUACAUGCAAGUCGUGGGGCAGCAUGAGUAGCAAUACUUGAUGGCGACCGGCAAACGGGUGAGGAACACGUACACAACCUUCCUUCAAGCGGGGAAUAGCCCAGAGAAAUUUGGAUUAAUACCCCAUAAUAUAUUUGAUAAGGCAUCUUAUUAAUAUUAAAGCUUCGGCACUUGAUGAUGGGUGUGCGGCUGAUUAGAUAGUUGGCGGGGUAACGGCCCACCAAGUCUACGAUCAGUAGCUGAUGUGAGAGCAUGAUCAGCCACACGGGCACUGAGACACGGGCCCGACUCCUACGGGAGGCAGCAGUAAGGAAUAUUGGACAAUGGACGAAAGUCUGAUCCAGCCAUGCCGCGUGAAGGAUUAAGGUCCUCUGGAUUGUAAACUUCUUUAUAUGGGACGAAAAAGGGCAUUCUUGUUCACUUGACGGUACCAUAUGAAUAAGCACCGGCUAACUCCGU